UAGGGAAUAUUGCACAAUGGGGGAAACCCUGAUGCAGCGACGCCGCGUGAAGGAAGAAGUAUCUCGGUAUGUAAACUUCUAUCAGCAGGGAAGACAAUGACGGUACCUGACUAAGAAGCCCCGGCUAACUACGUGCCAGCAGCCGCGGUAAUACGUAGGGGGCAAGCGUUAUCCGGAUUUACUGGGUGUAAAGGGAGCGUAGACGGAUCUGCAAGUCUGGAGUGAAAGCCCGGGGCUCAACCCCGGGACUGCUUUGGAAACUGUCAUACUUGAGUGCCGGAGGGGUAAGCGGAAUUCCUAGUGUAGCGGUGAAAUGCGUAGAUAUUAGGAGGAACACCAGUGGCGAAGGCGGCUUACUGGACGGUAACUGACGUUGAGGCUCGAAAGCGUGGGGAGCAAACAGGAUUAGAUACC
Molecule: ribosomal RNA, 414 nt
Filed under: uncultured bacterium
Lineage: Bacteria
Description: bacterial SSU rRNA
Rfam family: Bacterial small subunit ribosomal RNA
Source: RNAcentral